CUGCCGGAGGUUACUGCUAUCGAGGUUCGACUAAGCCAUGCGAGUCGAAUGUAGCAAUACAUGGCGUACUGCUCAGUAACACGUGGACAACCUACCCUUGGGACGGGGAUAAACCCGGGAAACUGGGUAUAAUACCCGAUAGUCCUCGACUGCUGGAAUGCAUCGAGGUCGAAAGCUCCGGUGCCCAAGGAUGGGUCUGCGGCCUAUCAGGUAGUAGUGGGUGUAGCGUACCUACUAGCCUACGACGGGUACGGGUUGUGAGAGCAAGAGCCCGGAGAUGGAUUCUGAGACACGAAUCCAGGCCCUACGGGGUGCAGCAGGCGCGAAAACUUUACAAUGCUGGAAACAGCGAUAAGGGAACCUCGAGUGCCAGGUUACAAAUCUGGCUGUCGUGAUGCCUAAAAAGCAUUGCAUAGCAAGGGCCGGGCAAGACCGGUGCCAGCCGCCGCGGUAACACCGGCGGCUCGAGUGGUAACCGUUAUUAUUGGGUCUAAAGGGUCUGUAGCCGGCCGGAUAAGUCUCUUGGGAAAUCUGGCAGCUUAACUGUCAGGCCUUCAGGAGAUACUGUCUGGCUCGAGGCCGGGAGAGGUGAGAGGUACUUCAGGGGUAGGGGUGAAAUCUUGUAAUCCUUGAAGGACCACCAGUGGCGAAGGCGUCUCACCAGAACGGACCCGACGGCAAGGGACGAAAGCUAGGGGCACGAACCGGAUUAGAUACCCGGGUAGUCCUAGCCGUAAACGAUACUCGCUAGGUGUCGGCCACGGUGCGACCGUGGUCGGUGCCGUAGGGAAGCCGUGAAGCGAGCCACCUGGGAAGUACGGCCGCAAGGCUGAAACUUAAAAGGAAUUGGCGGGGGGAGCACCACAACGGGUGGGAGCUUGGCGGUUUAAUUGGGAUU
Molecule: ribosomal RNA, 898 nt
Filed under: uncultured Methanosaeta sp.
Lineage: Archaea; Methanobacteriati; Methanobacteriota; Methanomicrobia; Methanotrichales; Methanotrichaceae
Description: bacterial SSU rRNA
Rfam family: Archaeal small subunit ribosomal RNA
Source: RNAcentral